This 217-nucleotide unclassified non-coding RNA is filed under the name Hevea brasiliensis (rubber tree). The record is from RNAcentral. Lineage: Eukaryota; Viridiplantae; Streptophyta; Magnoliopsida; Malpighiales; Euphorbiaceae.
GCGGAAGAGGGAGGUCUCCCGGAAAGUGUGGGAGAUGUAGCGUUCCGAGCUGCUUUAGACGCCCAGGCAUGAUGCUGGGGAAAUACAAGGGGGCUCGUCUCAACCCUCGGGACAGUCGAUCCCCGACACAGGAGUGGUCCGGUCUCCUCCUCAUCAAGAAGAGCCGCCACCGUCCCCUCCAGUUGCUUCAAAUGCGGAAGGGGGUCCUUCCCAACCA